This 484-nucleotide ribosomal RNA is filed under the name uncultured bacterium. RNAcentral's name for it is "partial 16S ribosomal RNA". It matches the Rfam family "Bacterial small subunit ribosomal RNA", at positions 28 to 523 of the family's 1533-position model. The record is from RNAcentral.
GACGAACGCUGGCGGCGUGCUUAACACAUGCAAGUCGAACGAUGAACCCGGAGCUUGCUCCGGUGGAUUAGUGGCGAACGGGUGAGUAACACGUGAGUAACCUGCCCUUGACUCUGGGAUAACUGCGGGAAACUGUAGCUAAUACCGGAUACGACCCUCGGCGGCAUCGCCAGGGGGUGGAAAGAAUUUCGGUCAAGGAUGGGCCCGCGGCCUAUCAGCUUGUUGGUGAGGUAGUGGCUCACCAAGGCGACGACGGGUAGCCGGCCUGAGAGGGCGACCGGCCACACUGGGACUGAGACACGGCCCAGACUCCUACGGGAGGCAGCAGUGGGGAAUAUUGCGCAAUGGGCGAAAGCCUGACGCAGCAACGCCGCGUGAGGGAUGACGGCCUUCGGGUUGUAAACCUCUUUCAGCAGGGAAGAAGCGAAAGUGACGGUACCUGCAGAAGAAGCACCGGCUAACUACGUGCCAGCCGCCGCCGUAA